CACACACAGUAGCCUGACCCACCAGGGCAGGUUAAAGAGGAGUUAGGGAGGAAGAGGAGGAUGAACCCUGGUUAUCUUCAGUCUACGGAGAGUGUUUUCCCACAGCUGCACACGCAACGCGGCCUCUUGUGAAACGCACCGUUCAAAUCUUCUGUCUUUAUUGCCCUCCCUCUGUCAGUUUUAUCUGAUGAAGGUUUCAAUAAAAAUGCUAACAUGCAACUAACCUAAUGAUGUACAGCUGAAAAAUUAAUAUAGCUGAUGUUUAUGUUGUACUUUUGUGUUGUUUACUCCACUGAGAUCCACAUCUUCAUUUCUGUUGAUUCUGAGCACUGGAAUAUGCAUUUAUCUGGGAAAAGUAAUGAAAAGAUGGGAAUCUGCCCAUGCAAAGCCCAGAGAUAGCAUUGGAGUGUUUUUCUAUGGACCUCAGCUUAAGAACGGGGGAAACACACAGACAACUGUCAGGUUUGAAGAAAGAUGGAAAACUGUGGCCCGAUACAGAUAGUCUCAAAGAAAAUCUGAUCCUUUCAUCCAUUCUGGGAACCCCGAGCGACUCUCCAGCUGAGCGGCGCAAAGCCGGACACCUUCACACCUUUGAAAACUGCAUAAUUAUCACCUCACCUAAUAUGAUGUUUUUGAGCUGUGGGAGGAAUCCUGAGCCACUAAAGCAAACACUUGUCCACAGAGAAAAAUCCUGCACUCUCCCAACACAGGAGCUUAAGAUGAAAUUUGAACUGGCAACCUUUGUGUGGGCCGACAAAACAACCAGUUUUUUCAAUGAUUAUUAAGAUUUUAAUACAUGUAAAAGCUACAAGUAAAAGCAAUCCUAUUAGCUUAGAAUCAAGGGCAUAGAGAAAAUGCUUUUUGUUUAGUGAGAAUGCUUCAAAGGUUGAACUACAUGAGUCUUUGCAUCGAUUUACUGCUUCACGG
This 927-nucleotide long non-coding RNA is filed under the name Oryzias sinensis (Chinese medaka). Its description in RNAcentral is "lncRNA (ENSOSIG00000004927.1)". Lineage: Eukaryota; Metazoa; Chordata; Actinopteri; Beloniformes; Adrianichthyidae. The record is from RNAcentral.